AAUUUUGGACAAUGGGGGAAACCCUGAUCCAGCCAUCCCGCGUGUAUGAUGAAGGCCUNCGGGUUNUNAAGUACUUUUGUCAGAGNCGAAAAGGUAUCUCCUAAUACGAGAUACUGCUGACGGUAUCUGCAGAAUAAGCACCGGCUAACUACGCGCCAGCAGCCGCGGUAAGACGUAGGGUGCAAGCGUUAAUCGGAAUUACGGGGCGUAAGGCGUGUGUAGGCGGUUCGGAAAGAAAGAUGUAAAAUCCCAGCGCUAAACCUUGGAACUGCAUGUUUAACUGCCGAGCUAGAGUAUGUCAGAGGGGGGUAGAAUUCCACGUGUAGCAGUGAAAUGCGUAGAUAUGUGGAGGAAUACCGAUGGCGAAGGCAGCCCCCUGGGAUAAUACUGACGCUCAGACACGAAAGCGUGGGGAGCAAACA
RNAcentral lists this ribosomal RNA (422 nucleotides) under uncultured bacterium. RNAcentral's name for it is "partial 16S ribosomal RNA". It matches the Rfam family "Bacterial small subunit ribosomal RNA", at positions 360 to 774 of the family's 1533-position model. The record is from RNAcentral.